UACAGAGGGGGCAAGCGUUGUUCGGAAUUACUGGGCGUAAAGGGCGCGUAGGCGGCCUCUUAAGUCGAACGUGAAAUCCCCGGGCUCAACCCGGGAACUGCGUCCGAUACUGGGGGGCUUGAAUCCGGGAGAGGGAUGUGGAAUUCCAGGUGUAGCGGUGAAAUGCGUAGAUAUCUGGAGGAAUACCGGUGGCGAAGGCGGCAUCCUGGACCGACAUUGACGCUGAUGAGCGAAAGCUAGGGGAGCAAACGGG
RNAcentral lists this ribosomal RNA (253 nucleotides) under uncultured bacterium. Its description in RNAcentral is "partial 16S ribosomal RNA". It matches the Rfam family "Bacterial small subunit ribosomal RNA", at positions 524 to 776 of the family's 1533-position model. The record is from RNAcentral.